GAUGAACGCUGGCGGCGUGCCUAAUACAUGCAAGUCGAGCGAACGGACGAGAAGCUUGCUUCUCUGAUGUUAGCGGCGGACGGGUGAGUAACACGUGGAUAACCUACCUAUAAGACUGGGAUAACUUCGGGAAACCGGAGCUAAUACCGGAUAAUAUUUUGAACCGCAUGGUUCAAAAGUGAAAGACGGUCCUGCUGUCACUUAUAGAUGGAUCCGCGCUGCAUUAGCUAGUUGGUAAGGUAACGGCUUACCAAGGCAACGAUGCAUAGCCGACCUGAGAGGGUGAUCGGCCACACUGGAGCGGAGACACGGUCAAGACUCCUACGGGAGGCAGCAGUAGGGAAUCUUACGCAGUGGGCGAGAGCAUGACGGAGCAACGCCGCGUGAGUGAUGAAGGUCUUCGGAUCGUAAAACUCUGUUAUUAGGGAAGAACAUAUGUGUAAGUAACUGAGCACAUCUUGACGGUACCUAAUCAGAAAGCAACGGCUAACUACGUG
Molecule: ribosomal RNA, 497 nt
Filed under: uncultured bacterium
Lineage: Bacteria
Description: partial 16S ribosomal RNA
Rfam family: Bacterial small subunit ribosomal RNA
Source: RNAcentral